CACGUAGGGUGCGAGCGUUGUCCGGAUUUAUUGGGCGUAAAGCGCGUGUAGGCGGCCAGAUAGGUCUGCUGUGAAAACUCGAGGCUCAACCUCGAGCUGUCGGCGGAAACCAUCUGGCUAGAGUCCGGAAGAGGAGAGUGGAAUUCCUGGUGUAGCGGUGAAAUGCGCAGAUAUCAGGAAGAACACCUAUGGCGAAGGCAGCUCUCUGGGACGGUACUGACGCUGAGACGCGAAAGCGUGGGGAGCGAACAGG
Molecule: ribosomal RNA, 253 nt
Filed under: uncultured bacterium
Lineage: Bacteria
Description: partial 16S ribosomal RNA
Rfam family: Bacterial small subunit ribosomal RNA
Source: RNAcentral